This 492-nucleotide ribosomal RNA is filed under the name uncultured bacterium. RNAcentral's name for it is "partial 16S ribosomal RNA". It matches the Rfam family "Bacterial small subunit ribosomal RNA", at positions 29 to 507 of the family's 1533-position model. The record is from RNAcentral.
AGUGAACGCUGGCGGUAGGCCUAACACAUGCCAGUCGAACGGCAGCACAGUAAGAGCUUGCUCUUACGGGUGGCGAGUGGCGGACGGGUGAGGAAUACAUCGGAAUCUACUUUUUCGUGGGGGAUAACGUAGGGAAACUUACGCUAAUACCGCAUACGACCUACGGGUGAAAGCAGGGGAUCUUCGGACCUUGCGCGAUUGAAUGAGCCGAUGUCGGAUUAGCUAGUUGGCGGGGUAAAGGCCCACCAAGGCGACGAUCCGUAGCUGGUCUGAGAGGAUGAUCAGCCACACUGGAACUGGGACACGGUCCAGACUCCUACGGGAGGCAGCAGUGGGGAAUAUUGGACAAUGGGCGCAAGCCUGAUCCAGCCAUACCGCGUGGGUGAAGAAGGCCUUCGGGUUGUAAAGCCCUUUUGUUGGGAAAGAAAAGCAGCAGGUUAAUACCCCGCUGUUCUGACGGUACCCAAAGAAUAGGCACCGGCUAACUUCGUG